AACGAACGCUGGCGGCGCGCCUAAUACAUGCAAGUCGAACGAGAAGGUGUAGCAAUACACUUGUACAGUGGCGAACGGGUGAGGAAUACAUGGGUAACCUACCCUCGAGUGGGGAAUAACUAGCCGAAAGGUUAGCUAAUACCGCGUACGCUCCUUGGACUUCGGUUCAGGGAGGAAAGCGAUACCGUGGGUAUCGCGCUCUUGGAUGGGCUCAUGUCCUAUCAGCUUGUUGGNGAGGUAACGGCUCACCAAGGCUUCGACGGGUAGCCGGUCUGAGAGGACAAUCAGCCACACUGGCACUGCGACACGGGCCAGACUCCUACGGGAGGCAGCAGUAAGGAAUAUUGCGCAAUGGGCGAAAGCCUGACGCAGCGACGCCGC
This 381-nucleotide ribosomal RNA is filed under the name uncultured bacterium. RNAcentral describes it as "bacterial SSU rRNA". It matches the Rfam family "Bacterial small subunit ribosomal RNA", at positions 29 to 400 of the family's 1533-position model. The record is from RNAcentral.